This 1556-nucleotide ribosomal RNA is filed under the name Salmonella enterica subsp. enterica serovar Heidelberg. RNAcentral describes it as "bacterial SSU rRNA". It matches the Rfam family "Bacterial small subunit ribosomal RNA". Lineage: Bacteria; Pseudomonadati; Pseudomonadota; Gammaproteobacteria; Enterobacterales; Enterobacteriaceae. The record is from RNAcentral. RNAcentral also lists the same sequence under 3 other names.
UUAAAUUGAAGAGUUUGAUCAUGGCUCAGAUUGAACGCUGGCGGCAGGCCUAACACAUGCAAGUCGAACGGUAACAGGAAGCAGCUUGCUGCUUUGCUGACGAGUGGCGGACGGGUGAGUAAUGUCUGGGAAACUGCCUGAUGGAGGGGGAUAACUACUGGAAACGGUGGCUAAUACCGCAUAACGUCGCAAGACCAAAGAGGGGGACCUUCGGGCCUCUUGCCAUCAGAUGUGCCCAGAUGGGAUUAGCUUGUUGGUGAGGUAACGGCUCACCAAGGCGACGAUCCCUAGCUGGUCUGAGAGGAUGACCAGCCACACUGGAACUGAGACACGGUCCAGACUCCUACGGGAGGCAGCAGUGGGGAAUAUUGCACAAUGGGCGCAAGCCUGAUGCAGCCAUGCCGCGUGUAUGAAGAAGGCCUUCGGGUUGUAAAGUACUUUCAGCGGGGAGGAAGGUGUUGUGGUUAAUAACCACAGCAAUUGACGUUACCCGCAGAAGAAGCACCGGCUAACUCCGUGCCAGCAGCCGCGGUAAUACGGAGGGUGCAAGCGUUAAUCGGAAUUACUGGGCGUAAAGCGCACGCAGGCGGUCUGUCAAGUCGGAUGUGAAAUCCCCGGGCUCAACCUGGGAACUGCAUUCGAAACUGGCAGGCUUGAGUCUUGUAGAGGGGGGUAGAAUUCCAGGUGUAGCGGUGAAAUGCGUAGAGAUCUGGAGGAAUACCGGUGGCGAAGGCGGCCCCCUGGACAAAGACUGACGCUCAGGUGCGAAAGCGUGGGGAGCAAACAGGAUUAGAUACCCUGGUAGUCCACGCCGUAAACGAUGUCUACUUGGAGGUUGUGCCCUUGAGGCGUGGCUUCCGGAGCUAACGCGUUAAGUAGACCGCCUGGGGAGUACGGCCGCAAGGUUAAAACUCAAAUGAAUUGACGGGGGCCCGCACAAGCGGUGGAGCAUGUGGUUUAAUUCGAUGCAACGCGAAGAACCUUACCUGGUCUUGACAUCCACAGAACUUUCCAGAGAUGGAUUGGUGCCUUCGGGAACUGUGAGACAGGUGCUGCAUGGCUGUCGUCAGCUCGUGUUGUGAAAUGUUGGGUUAAGUCCCGCAACGAGCGCAACCCUUAUCCUUUGUUGCCAGCGGUUAGGCCGGGAACUCAAAGGAGACUGCCAGUGAUAAACUGGAGGAAGGUGGGGAUGACGUCAAGUCAUCAUGGCCCUUACGACCAGGGCUACACACGUGCUACAAUGGCGCAUACAAAGAGAAGCGACCUCGCGAGAGCAAGCGGACCUCAUAAAGUGCGUCGUAGUCCGGAUUGGAGUCUGCAACUCGACUCCAUGAAGUCGGAAUCGCUAGUAAUCGUGGAUCAGAAUGCCACGGUGAAUACGUUCCCGGGCCUUGUACACACCGCCCGUCACACCAUGGGAGUGGGUUGCAAAAGAAGUAGGUAGCUUAACCUUCGGGAGGGCGCUUACCACUUUGUGAUUCAUGACUGGGGUGAAGUCGUAACAAGGUAACCGUAGGGGAACCUGCGGUUGGAUCACCUCCUUACCUUAAAGAAGC